This 69-nucleotide transfer RNA is filed under the name Ephippus orbis (orbfish). RNAcentral describes it as "tRNA-His". It matches the Rfam family "tRNA". From Rfam's summary of the family: Transfer RNA (tRNA) molecules are approximately 80 nucleotides in length. Their secondary structure includes four short double-helical elements and three loops (D, anti-codon, and T loops). Further hydrogen bonds mediate the characteristic L-shaped molecular structure. tRNAs have two regions of fundamental functional importance: the anti-codon, which is responsible for specific mRNA codon recognition, and the 3' end, to which the tRNAs corresponding amino acid is attached (by aminoacyl-tRNA synthetases). tRNAs cope with the degeneracy of the genetic code in two manners: having more than one tRNA (with a specific anti-codon) for a particular amino acid; and 'wobble' base-pairing, i.e. permitting non-standard base-pairing at the 3rd anti-codon position. The record is from RNAcentral. Lineage: Eukaryota; Metazoa; Chordata; Actinopteri; Ephippiformes; Ephippidae.
GCAGAUUUAGUUUAGCCAAAACACUAGAUUGUGAUUCUAGAGACGGAGGUGAAACCCCUCCUAUCUGCC